Molecule: ribosomal RNA, 501 nt
Filed under: uncultured bacterium
Lineage: Bacteria
Description: partial 16S ribosomal RNA
Rfam family: Bacterial small subunit ribosomal RNA
Source: RNAcentral
GACGAACGCUGGCGGCGUGCCUAAUACAUGCAAGUCGAGCGGACCGGCUUGGGGCUUGCCUUGAUUCGGUCAGCGGCGGACGGGUGAGUAACACGUGGGCAACCUGCCCGCAAGACCGGGAUAACUCCGGGAAACCGGAGCUAAUACCGGAUAACACCGAAGACCGCAUGGUCUUCGGUUGAAAGGCGGCCUUUGGGCUGUCACUUGCGGAUGGGCCCGCGGCGCAUUAGCUAGUUGGUGAGGUAACGGCUCACCAAGGCGACGAUGCGUAGCCGGCCUGGGAGGGUGGACGGCCACACUGGGACUGAGACACGGCCCAGACUCCUACGGGAGGCAGCAGUAGGGAAUCUUCCGAAAUGGGCGGAAGCCUGACGGAGCGACGCCGCGUGAGCGAAGAAGGCCUUCGGGUCGUAAAGGUCUGUUGUGAGGGACGAAGGAGCGUCGUUCGAAGAGGGCGGCGCGGUGACGGUACCUCACGAGAAAGCCCCGGCUAACUACGUG